GGAGGGUUGGCAGAGCGGACGAUUGCGUUGGUCUUGAAAACCAAUGAUCCUAACGGAUCCGCGGGUUCAAAUCCCGCACCCUCCGCCA
Molecule: transfer RNA, 88 nt
Filed under: Acidimicrobiaceae bacterium
Lineage: Bacteria; Bacillati; Actinomycetota; Acidimicrobiia; Acidimicrobiales; Acidimicrobiaceae
Also listed under: 2 other names
Description: tRNA-Ser
Rfam family: tRNA
About the family: Transfer RNA (tRNA) molecules are approximately 80 nucleotides in length. Their secondary structure includes four short double-helical elements and three loops (D, anti-codon, and T loops). Further hydrogen bonds mediate the characteristic L-shaped molecular structure. tRNAs have two regions of fundamental functional importance: the anti-codon, which is responsible for specific mRNA codon recognition, and the 3' end, to which the tRNAs corresponding amino acid is attached (by aminoacyl-tRNA synthetases). tRNAs cope with the degeneracy of the genetic code in two manners: having more than one tRNA (with a specific anti-codon) for a particular amino acid; and 'wobble' base-pairing, i.e. permitting non-standard base-pairing at the 3rd anti-codon position.
Source: RNAcentral